This 440-nucleotide ribosomal RNA is filed under the name uncultured bacterium. RNAcentral describes it as "partial 16S ribosomal RNA". It matches the Rfam family "Bacterial small subunit ribosomal RNA", at positions 338 to 795 of the family's 1533-position model. The record is from RNAcentral.
CCUACGGGAGGCAGCAGUGGGGAAUAUUGGACAAUGGGGGAAACCCUGAUCCAGCGACGCCGCGUGAGUGAAGAAGUAUUUCGGUACGUAAAGCUCUAUCAGCAGGAAAGAAAAUGACGGUACCUGACUAAGAAGCCCCGGCUACCUACGUGCCAGCAGCCGCGGUAAUACGUAGGGGGCAAGCGUUAUCCGGAUUUUCUGGGGGUAAAGGGAGCGUAGACGGCAGCGCAAGUCUGGAGUGAAAUGCCGGGGGCCAACCCCGGAACUGCUCUGGAAACUGUGAAGCUGGAGUGCAGGAGAGGUAAGCGGAAUUCCUGGUGUAGCGGUGAAAUGCGUAGAUAUCAGGAGGAACACCGGCGGCGAAGGCGGCUUACUGGACUGUAACUGACGUUGAGGCUCGAAGGCGUGGGGAGCAAACAGGAUUAGAUACCCUAGUAGUC